Molecule: ribosomal RNA, 253 nt
Filed under: uncultured bacterium
Lineage: Bacteria
Description: partial 16S ribosomal RNA
Rfam family: Bacterial small subunit ribosomal RNA
Source: RNAcentral
UACGGGGGGAGCAAGCGUUGUUCGGAUUCAUUGGGCGUAAAGGGUGCGUAGGCGGCGCGGUAAGUCGGGUGUGAAAUCUCGGAGCUUAACUCCGAAACUGCAUUCGAUACUGCCGUGCUUGAGGACUGGAGAGGAGACUGGAAUUUACGGUGUAGCAGUGAAAUGCGUAGAGAUCGUAAGGAAGACCAGUGGCGAAGGCGGGUCUCUGGACAGUUCCUGACACUGAGGCACGAAGGCCAGGGGAGCAAACGGG